UGAUGUGAUAUCGGGACCUUGG
This 22-nucleotide non-coding RNA is filed under the name Rattus norvegicus (Norway rat). Lineage: Eukaryota; Metazoa; Chordata; Mammalia; Rodentia; Muridae. The record is from RNAcentral.